This 2909-nucleotide ribosomal RNA is filed under the name Bacillus cereus AH187. Its description in RNAcentral is "bacterial LSU rRNA". It matches the Rfam family "Bacterial large subunit ribosomal RNA". Lineage: Bacteria; Bacillati; Bacillota; Bacilli; Caryophanales; Bacillaceae. The record is from RNAcentral.
GGGCGCACGGUGGAUGCCUUGACACUAGGAGUCGAUGAAGGACGGGACUAACGCCGAUAUGCUUCGGGGAGCUGUAAGUAAGCUUUGAUCCGAAGAUUUCCGAAUGGGGAAACCCACCAUACGUAAUGGUAUGGUAUCCUUACCUGAAUACAUAGGGUAAGGAAGACAGACCCAGGGAACUGAAACAUCUAAGUACCUGGAGGAAGAGAAAGCAAAUGCGAUUUCCUGAGUAGCGGCGAGCGAAACGGAACAUAGCCCAAACCAAGAGGCUUGCCUCUUGGGGUUGUAGGACAUUCUAUACGGAGUUACAAAGGAACGAGGUAGACGAAGCGACCUGGAAAGGUCCGUCGUAGAGGGUAACAACCCCGUAGUCGAAACUUCGUUCUCUCUUGAAUGUAUCCUGAGUACGGCGGAACACGUGAAAUUCCGUCGGAAUCUGGGAGGACCAUCUCCCAAGGCUAAAUACUCCCUAGUGAUCGAUAGUGAACCAGUACCGUGAGGGAAAGGUGAAAAGCACCCCGGAAGGGGAGUGAAAGAGAUCCUGAAACCGUGUGCCUACAAAUAGUCAGAGCCCGUUAACGGGUGAUGGCGUGCCUUUUGUAGAAUGAACCGGCGAGUUACGAUCCCGUGCGAGGUUAAGCUGAAGAGGCGGAGCCGCAGCGAAAGCGAGUCUGAAUAGGGCGUUUAGUACGUGGUCGUAGACCCGAAACCAGGUGAUCUACCCAUGUCCAGGGUGAAGUUCAGGUAACACUGAAUGGAGGCCCGAACCCACGCACGUUGAAAAGUGCGGGGAUGAGGUGUGGGUAGCGGAGAAAUUCCAAUCGAACCUGGAGAUAGCUGGUUCUCCCCGAAAUAGCUUUAGGGCUAGCCUUAAGUGUAAGAGUCUUGGAGGUAGAGCACUGAUUGGACUAGGGGUCCUCAUCGGAUUACCGAAUUCAGUCAAACUCCGAAUGCCAAUGACUUAUCCUUAGGAGUCAGACUGCGAGUGAUAAGAUCCGUAGUCAAAAGGGAAACAGCCCAGACCGCCAGCUAAGGUCCCAAAGUGUGUAUUAAGUGGAAAAGGAUGUGGAGUUGCUUAGACAACUAGGAUGUUGGCUUAGAAGCAGCCACCAUUUAAAGAGUGCGUAAUAGCUCACUAGUCGAGUGACUCUGCGCCGAAAAUGUACCGGGGCUAAAUACACCACCGAAGCUGCGGAUUGAUACCGAAUGGUAUCAGUGGUAGGGGAGCGUUCUAAGGACAGUGAAGUCAGACCGGAAGGACUGGUGGAGUGCUUAGAAGUGAGAAUGCCGGUAUGAGUAGCGAAAGACGGGUGAGAAUCCCGUCCACCGAAUGCCUAAGGUUUCCUGAGGAAGGCUCGUCCGCUCAGGGUUAGUCAGGACCUAAGCCGAGGCCGACAGGCGUAGGCGAUGGACAACAGGUUGAUAUUCCUGUACCACCUCUUUAUCGUUUGAGCAAUGGAGGGACGCAGAAGGAUAGAAGAAGCGUGCGAUUGGUUGUGCACGUCCAAGCAGUUAGGCUGAUAAGUAGGCAAAUCCGCUUAUCGUAAAGGCUGAGCUGUGAUGGGGAAGCUCCUUAUGGAGCGAAGUCUUUGAUUCCCCGCUGCCAAGAAAAGCUUCUAGCGAGAUAAAAGGUGCCUGUACCGCAAACCGACACAGGUAGGCGAGGAGAGAAUCCUAAGGUGUGCGAGAGAACUCUGGUUAAGGAACUCGGCAAAAUGACCCCGUAACUUCGGGAGAAGGGGUGCUUUCUUAACGGAAAGCCGCAGUGAAUAGGCCCAAGCGACUGUUUAGCAAAAACACAGCUCUCUGCGAAGCCGUAAGGCGAAGUAUAGGGGGUGACACCUGCCCGGUGCUGGAAGGUUAAGGAGAGGGGUUAGCGUAAGCGAAGCUCUGAACUGAAGCCCCAGUAAACGGCGGCCGUAACUAUAACGGUCCUAAGGUAGCGAAAUUCCUUGUCGGGUAAGUUCCGACCCGCACGAAAGGUGUAACGAUUUGGGCACUGUCUCAACCAGAGACUCGGUGAAAUUAUAGUACCUGUGAAGAUGCAGGUUACCCGCGACAGGACGGAAAGACCCCGUGGAGCUUUACUGUAGCCUGAUAUUGAAUUUUGGUACAGUUUGUACAGGAUAGGCGGGAGCCUUUGAAACCGGAGCGCUAGCUUCGGUGGAGGCGCUGGUGGGAUACCGCCCUGACUGUAUUGAAAUUCUAACCUACGGGUCUUAUCGACCCGGGAGACAGUGUCAGGUGGGCAGUUUGACUGGGGCGGUCGCCUCCUAAAGUGUAACGGAGGCGCCCAAAGGUUCCCUCAGAAUGGUUGGAAAUCAUUCGUAGAGUGCAAAGGCAUAAGGGAGCUUGACUGCGAGACCUACAAGUCGAGCAGGGACGAAAGUCGGGCUUAGUGAUCCGGUGGUUCCGCAUGGAAGGGCCAUCGCUCAACGGAUAAAAGCUACCCCGGGGAUAACAGGCUUAUCUCCCCCAAGAGUCCACAUCGACGGGGAGGUUUGGCACCUCGAUGUCGGCUCAUCGCAUCCUGGGGCUGUAGUCGGUCCCAAGGGUUGGGCUGUUCGCCCAUUAAAGCGGUACGCGAGCUGGGUUCAGAACGUCGUGAGACAGUUCGGUCCCUAUCCGUCGUGGGCGUAGGAAAUUUGAGAGGAGCUGUCCUUAGUACGAGAGGACCGGGAUGGACGCACCGCUGGUGUACCAGUUGUUCUGCCAAGGGCAUAGCUGGGUAGCUAUGUGCGGAAGGGAUAAGUGCUGAAAGCAUCUAAGCAUGAAGCCCCCCUCAAGAUGAGAUUUCCCAUAGCGUAAGCUAGUAAGAUCCCUGAAAGAUGAUCAGGUUGAUAGGUUCGAGGUGGAAGCAUGGUGACAUGUGGAGCUGACGAAUACUAAUAGAUCGAGGACUUAACCAU